This 405-nucleotide ribosomal RNA is filed under the name uncultured bacterium. Its description in RNAcentral is "partial 16S ribosomal RNA". It matches the Rfam family "Bacterial small subunit ribosomal RNA", at positions 30 to 526 of the family's 1533-position model. The record is from RNAcentral.
AUUGAACGCUGGCGGCAGGCUUAACACAUGCAAGUCGAACGAGUGGCGGACGGGUGAGUAAUGCUUGGGAAUCUAGCUGAUGGAGGGGGAUAACUACUGGAAACUGUAGCUAAUACCGCGUACCAUAGGAUGAGCCCAGGUGGGAUUAGGUUGUUGGUGGGGUAAAGGCUCACCAAGCCGACGAUCCCUAGCUGGUCUGAGAGGAUGACCAGCCACACUGGGACUGAGACACGGCCCAGACUCCUACGGGAGGCAGCAGUGGGGAAUAUUGCACAAUGGGGGAAACCUGACCCAGCCAUGCCGCGUGAAUGAAGAAGGCCUUCGGGUUGUAAAGUUCUUUCGGUAGAGAGGCGUUAACUGCAGAAGAAGCACCGGCUAACUCCGUGCCAGCAGCCGCGGUAAUAC